Long non-coding RNA from Liolophura sinensis, 644 nucleotides. RefSeq lists it as uncharacterized. The record is from RefSeq and is a predicted model, not a curated record. The transcript has 3 exons. NCBI's taxonomy places the organism in Eukaryota, Metazoa, Mollusca, Polyplacophora, Chitonida, Chitonidae.
UAUAAAACAAAUAUAAUUUACUGAAAAGCAACGGCAUAGGCACGAGAAACGCUGUGAACUUAGGAGGGUGAAGACGCCCAGCAGUGAGCUUGCAAACUUACAUCACGGUCUGAUCUCACAUAUGUUUCACGUCCUACAUGGCUCUUAUAUCACAAGCAUCUCUCCUAAAAUGCUCCGCUAUAAACAGUGUGAUACGUACAUAUGUUGAUUAAGGUAAUUUAUCUCACGCCAACACGCUUUGCGCGGUCAACGGAUAAAGUCGAAGAGAAAUGGAUGUUACCGUGAGCUACACAGUGUUUAAGGUACUUGACAAGUACGAAGGAUGGUGAGACGUUAAACAUGACUGCUGCAGUUCUGCUGUUGCCAUACACGCUUAAAAACGAGAUCACAGGAUGACAGUCUCCUACCAAAUGUGGAAGAGGCACCCCACGUGAAAGGCAUAUCAGAUGAUCGUGAGAGGAGAUCCAUUUUCUACAGCACAAAUCUGUAUUGUGGGAGAAAUGAAAACCCUCCGGAAGUCCAGGACAUGAUGCAUGUCACGUUUGUAAUGUUUGCAGUAUACUGUAACCUAUACUGUAAAAAAUUCCCACCAGAGCAGCGUCUCUGUUAAACUGUCUUCCCCCUUGAAAAGGGAAAACAUGACU